Molecule: ribosomal RNA, 219 nt
Filed under: uncultured bacterium
Lineage: Bacteria
Description: partial 16S ribosomal RNA
Rfam family: Bacterial small subunit ribosomal RNA
Source: RNAcentral
UACAUCGGAACGUGUCCCGUAGUGGGGGAUAGCUCGGCGAAAGCCGGAUUAAUACCGCAUAUGCUCUACGGAGGAAAGCAGGGGAUCCGCAAGGACCUUGCGCUAUGGGAGCGGCCGAUGUCCGAUUAGCUUGUUGGUGAGGUAAAGGCUUACCAAGGCGACGAUCGGUAGCUGGUCUGAGAGGAUGAUUAGCCACACUGGGACUGAGACACGGCCCAG